This 391-nucleotide unclassified non-coding RNA is filed under the name soil metagenome. RNAcentral's name for it is "partial contains 5.8S ribosomal RNA, internal transcribed spacer 2, and large subunit ribosomal RNA". The stretch from base 1 to 122 matches the Rfam family "5.8S ribosomal RNA", at positions 35 to 154 of the family's 154-position model. The record is from RNAcentral.
GAUGAAGAACGCAGCGAAAUGCGAUACUUGGUGUGAAUUGCAGAAUCCCGUGAACCAUCGAGUCUUUGAACGCAAGUUGCGCCCGAAGCCAUUAGGCCGAGGGCACGCCUGCCUGGGCGUCACACGUCGUUGCCCCCCCAUCUACUCCUUCGGGAUUGCGGGGGGCGGAUGAUGGCCUCUCGUGCGCCUCGUCGCGCGGUUGGCCUAAAUGCCAAGUCCUCGGCGACGCACGCCACGACAAUCGGUGGUUGCGAAACCUCGGUUGCCUGUCGUGUGCGGUCGUCGCGCAUCGAGGGCCCGAAAAAAUUGCCGGGCUUCGGCUCGACUUUCAACGCGACCCCAGGUCAGGCGGGGUUACCCGCUGAAUUUAAGCAUAUCAAUAAGCGGAGGA